Molecule: ribosomal RNA, 405 nt
Filed under: uncultured bacterium
Lineage: Bacteria
Description: partial 16S ribosomal RNA
Rfam family: Bacterial small subunit ribosomal RNA
Source: RNAcentral
AUUGAACGCUGGCGGCAGGCCUAACACAUGCAAGUCGAGCGAGCGGCGGACGGGUGAGUAAUGUAUGGGGAUCUGCCCGAUAGAGGGGGAUAACUACUGGAAACGGUAGCUAAUACCGCAUACUAUUGGAGCGGCCGAUACCGGAUUAGCUAGUUGGUGGGGUAAAGGCUAACAAAGGCAACGAUCCGUAGCUGGUUUGAGAGGACGACCAGGCACACUGGGACUGGGACACGGCCCAGACUCCUACGGGAGGCAGCAGUGGGGAAUUUUGGACAAUGGGGGAAACCGUGAUCCAGCCAUCCCGCGUGUAUGAGAAGGCCUUCGGGUUGUAAAGUACUUUUGGCAGAGAAGCGGUAUCGGCAGAAUAAGCACCGGCUAACUACGUGACAGCAGCCGCGGUAAUUC